Molecule: transfer RNA, 72 nt
Filed under: Ovis aries (sheep)
Lineage: Eukaryota; Metazoa; Chordata; Mammalia; Artiodactyla; Bovidae
Rfam family: tRNA
About the family: Transfer RNA (tRNA) molecules are approximately 80 nucleotides in length. Their secondary structure includes four short double-helical elements and three loops (D, anti-codon, and T loops). Further hydrogen bonds mediate the characteristic L-shaped molecular structure. tRNAs have two regions of fundamental functional importance: the anti-codon, which is responsible for specific mRNA codon recognition, and the 3' end, to which the tRNAs corresponding amino acid is attached (by aminoacyl-tRNA synthetases). tRNAs cope with the degeneracy of the genetic code in two manners: having more than one tRNA (with a specific anti-codon) for a particular amino acid; and 'wobble' base-pairing, i.e. permitting non-standard base-pairing at the 3rd anti-codon position.
Source: Rfam by way of RNAcentral
UCCCUGAUGGUCCAGUGGCUAAGACUCCAUGCUCCCAAUGUAGAGGACCUGGUUCAAUUCCAGGUCAGGCAA